Callithrix jacchus (white-tufted-ear marmoset) is the source of this 96-nucleotide Y RNA. It matches the Rfam family "Y RNA". Rfam says of the family: Y RNAs are components of the Ro ribonucleoprotein particle (Ro RNP), in association with Ro60 and La proteins. The Y RNAs and Ro60 and La proteins are well conserved, but the function of the Ro RNP is not known. Lineage: Eukaryota; Metazoa; Chordata; Mammalia; Primates; Cebidae. The record is from Ensembl.
GGCGGGUCCAAUGGUAGUGGGUUAUCAGAACUUAUUAACAUCAGUGUCACUAAAGUUGGUAUAAAACCCCCCACUGCUAAAUUUGACUGGAUUUUA